GAUAGUCAGAAACAUCGAUGAGAGAGAAACAUCGAUCAGCUGCCUCCUGCACAUCUCCCACUGGGGAUGUGCCCGCAACCCAGGUACAUGCCCUUGACCAAAAUCGAACCCGGGACCCUUCAGUCCGCAGGCCGACGCUCUAUCCACUGAGCCAAACCGGUUUCGGCGACAUUUAAAUUCUUUACAAGGAAAAUGUGAGAUCUUUGGAGAAAGCUUUUUUAUAAGCUUACCAACAUACUUCAUAUAGUUUUCCAGAAAUGCAAAUUGGUAAUCACUUUUCUGGGUGGUAAUUUGGCAGUAUGUCAGAGGAACCUUAGAAUUUCUAUCCUAAUUCCAUUUAUAGAAAUUCACCAUAAUAUAGAAACAUACACAAAAACAUCUUAUCCCAGAAAUGAAAAUAGACCACUUACAUCAUAUACAAAAAUUUAAAAAUGGAUUAAAAGACAAAAUUGAAAUGUCAGGCCUAAAAUCAUAAAACCGUAAGAAAACACAGGCAAUAAAUUUUGGACAUUGGUCUUAGCAAUAAGUCUCCUAGGGCAAAGAUAAUAAAAGCAAAAAUGAACAGAUGAGCCAAAACCAGUUUGGCUCACUUAUACCACAGAAGAAACAAAGGCAACCUACUGAACUGGAGAAAUUAUUUGCAAAUAAUAUAUCCAAUAAGGGGUUAAUAUCCAAAAUAUAUGAAGAAUUCAUACAGCUUGGCAUCAAAGAAACAAUUAGAUAAAAAAUGGACAGAGGACAUGAAUAUAAAUAUUUCUCCAAAGAGGACAUAGAGGUGGUUGACAGACACAUGGAAAGAUGCUCAACAUCACUGAUCAUUAGGGAAAUGCAAAUCAAAACCACAAAGAGAGAUGACCUCACACCAGUCAGAAUGACUAUUACCAAUAAAUCAGCCAGGCAGGUGUGCCUCAGUGGUUAAGCGUCAACCCACAAACCAGGUCACGGUUUGAUCCUUGGUCAAUGGCACAUACUGGAGCUGCAGGCUCAAACCCCAGUAGGGGCUGUGCAGGAGGCAGCUGAUCAGUGAAUCUCUAUCAUUGAUGUUUCUAUCCCUUUCUACCCUUCCUCUCUCUGAAAUUAAUAAAAAACAUUUUUUAAAAAUAGUAAAAAUAAAUCAACAAACAAGGAUGUGGAGAAAAGGGAACCCUUGUGUACUGUGUUGGAGAGAUUAUAAAUUGGUGCACCAAUUAUGAAUACAGUAUGAAAGUUCCUC
Myotis daubentonii (Daubenton's bat) is the source of this 1213-nucleotide long non-coding RNA. RefSeq lists it as uncharacterized. NCBI's taxonomy places the organism in Eukaryota, Metazoa, Chordata, Mammalia, Chiroptera, Vespertilionidae. The record is from RefSeq and is a predicted model, not a curated record.